ACACAUUCCAACCAAUCAGCAGCAGACCCUCCCUCCCAGACUCUCCCACCUCCUGGACAGCAUCCAUUUUACAUUCAUUGUGAAGCUGCAUUCUUAGUGAGCUGUCCAGGAGGUGGGAGGGUCUGGGAGGGAGGGUCUGCUGCUGAUUGGCUGGAAUGU
Pelobates cultripes (western spadefoot toad) is the source of this 159-nucleotide non-coding RNA. The record is from the annotation of a GenBank genome assembly. Lineage: Eukaryota; Metazoa; Chordata; Amphibia; Anura; Pelobatidae.